Molecule: ribosomal RNA, 429 nt
Filed under: Bacteroidota bacterium
Lineage: Bacteria; Pseudomonadati; Bacteroidota
Description: Bacteroidetes bacterium partial 16S ribosomal RNA
Rfam family: Bacterial small subunit ribosomal RNA
Source: RNAcentral
UAGGGAAUCUUCGGCAAUGGGGGGAACCCUGACCGAGCAACGCCGCGUGAGUGAAGAAGGUUUUCGGAUCGUAAAGCUCUGUUGUUAAGGAAGAACGAGUGUGAGAAUGGAAAGUUCAUGCUGUGACGGUACUUAACCAGAAAGGGACGGCUAACUACGUGCCAGCAGCCGCGGUAAUACGUAGGUCCCGAGCGUUGUCCGGAUUUAUUGGGCGUAAAGCGAGCGCAGGCGGUUAGAAAAGUCUGAAGUGAAAGGCAGUGGCUCAACCAUUGUAGGCUUUGGAAACUGUUUUACUUGAGUGCAGAAGGGGAGAGUGGAAUUCCAUGUGUAGCGGUGAAAUGCGUAGAUAUAUGGAGGAACACCGGUGGCGAAAGCGGCUCUCUGGUCUGUAACUGACGCUGAGGCUCGAAAGCGUGGGGAGCGAACAGG